RNAcentral lists this ribosomal RNA (253 nucleotides) under uncultured bacterium. RNAcentral's name for it is "partial 16S ribosomal RNA". It matches the Rfam family "Bacterial small subunit ribosomal RNA", at positions 524 to 776 of the family's 1533-position model. The record is from RNAcentral.
UACGUAGGGUGCGAGCGUUAAUCGGAAUUACUGGGCGUAAAGCGUGCGCAGGCGGUUUUGUAAGCCAGAUGUGAAAUCCCCGGGCUCAACCUGGGAACUGCAUUUGGGACUGCAAGGCUUGAGUACGGCAGAGGGGGGUAGAAUUCCUGGUGUAGCAGUGAAAUGCGUAGAUAUCAGGAGGAAUACCGAUGGCGAAGGCAGCCCCCUGGGUCGAUACUGACGCUCAUGCACGAAAGCGUGGGGAGCAAACAGG